RNAcentral lists this ribosomal RNA (253 nucleotides) under uncultured bacterium. Its description in RNAcentral is "partial 16S ribosomal RNA". It matches the Rfam family "Bacterial small subunit ribosomal RNA", at positions 524 to 776 of the family's 1533-position model. The record is from RNAcentral.
UACGUAGGGACCGAGCGUUGUCCGGAAUCAUUGGGCGUAAAGAGCGUGUAGGCGGCCACUUAAGUCCUGCGUGAAAUCUUGCGGCUCAACCUCGAGGCUGCUCCCGAAACUGUUCGCCUAGGGACUGGUAGAGGCUGGUAGAAUUCCCGGUGUAGCGGUGGAAUGCGUAGAGAUCGGGAAGAAUACCUGUGGCGAAGGCGGCCAGCUGGGCCAGAUCCGACACUGAGGCGCGAAAGCGUGGGGAGCGAUCCGG